This 502-nucleotide ribosomal RNA is filed under the name uncultured bacterium. RNAcentral's name for it is "partial 16S ribosomal RNA". It matches the Rfam family "Bacterial small subunit ribosomal RNA", at positions 28 to 507 of the family's 1533-position model. The record is from RNAcentral.
GACGAACGCUGGCGGCGUGCCUAAUACAUGCAAGUCGAACGAACCGCGACUGAGUGCUUGCACUUGGUCAAGGUGAGUGGCGAACGGGUGAGUAACACGUGGGUAACCUACCUCAUAGUGGGGGAUAACAGUCGGAAACGACUGCUAAUACCGCAUAGGACAUAGGAUCACAUGAUCCAGUGAGGAAAGGUGGCGCAAGCUAUCGCUAAGAGAUGGACCCGCGGUGCAUUAGCUAGUUGGUAGGGUAAAGGCCUACCAAGGCGAUGAUGCAUAGCCGACCUGAGAGGGUGAUCGGCCACAUUGGGACUGAGACACGGCCCAAACUCCUACGGGAGGCAGCAGUAGGGAAUCUUCCGCAAUGGACGCAAGUCUGACGGAGCAACGCCGCGUGAGUGAAGAAGGUCUUCGGAUCGUAAAGCUCUGUUGUUAGAGAAGAACAGCGCAUAGAGUAACUGCUAUGCGUGUGACGGUAUCUAACCAGAAAGCCACGGCCAACUACGUG